Molecule: long non-coding RNA, 1603 nt
Organism: Piliocolobus tephrosceles (Ugandan red Colobus)
Lineage: Eukaryota; Metazoa; Chordata; Mammalia; Primates; Cercopithecidae
Exons: 3
Source: RefSeq, a predicted model, not a curated record
GGAAAAGGUAUUGAAAAUAUGAAAAUAAAGUGUUAUUUGGCUGGAGUGAGGUCUCAUGGCCGUUUAUGCGGUGGCGUGCUGCUCAGGACAGGUCAAGAAGAUACUGGUAUGUGUACUAAGGAAAACAGCUUCGUUUACAUGCAACCUGUUGUACAUGAGAAAGCAUUCUUACAUACAUUUCUUCAAAAAGAUUAUGGGACACCAACCAAAACAAGAACCAUUGGAGAUGCUCGUUACUCUUUGAAAGCUUACAGCGGAAUGAAUUCAAAUACGACUUAUUUGAGGAAUUGAAGUUGACUUUAUGGAGCUGAUAAGAAUCUUCUUGGAAAAAAAAAGACUGCGUAUAUUUUCUUUUUUUAUUAUUUAUUUAUUUUUUUAUUAUACUGUAAGUUAUAGGGUACAUGUGCAUAAUGUGCAGGUUUGUUACAUAUGUAUACUUGUGCCAUGUUGGCGUGCCGUAAAUAUAUACCGUAAAAAGAUAUAUAUUUUCAAUACACUUUCCUUAAAAGGAUAUAUAUUUUCAAUACACUUUCCUUUUACGGUCCCUUACCUGUGGAAAGUAAAGAAUGUCACUUUCUGACAGGCCCAGGAACCUCAAGUUAUGUGGGGAUCUCAGGAAGACGGGGGAAUUCACCCAGUUCAUGCAGGUGAAAUUGCUGUUGCCAAGAUUACGAAUCUGAGAGAAGUCCAGCAUGGCUGACUUCAUCUCAUGUCUGGCCUCAGGCCGGCUGCCCUUGCUCACUCUUGGCCAUAGGCCAAGCUAGCCGUGGGAGGAAUUUAGUUUAUAGUUUAACUUUGAAGCAAGGAUGAUAAUACUGUCUCCCUAACAUGAACCCCUUCCUUGCUCAGGGACUGAAACUACCUUUGUAAGACAAAUGAAAGCCCACAAGAUUAGGAUUAUGAGAGGGGCCUGAAUUAUGCUAAAAUGCAGGUGUAGCUGACUGAUAACCAGUAUUGUCCCACAGCUUGCCUUUCUAUAAUCUCUUGCUCCUCAGGAGUCACAUGGCCAGAGGUCCUGAGAUUUCUGGUCCUGUGACCCCCACCCAGAGAUGGACUUAGUGCAUGAGGACCAUUUUCCGCACCCCUAUGAUUUCAUCCUCAAACAAUCAGCAGCACCCAUUCCCUAGCCCCCUGCCUGCCAAACUAUCCAUAAAAAUCCUGGCCCCUGAGUUAUUAGGGAGAUUGAUUAAUAAUCCCAGCCCUACCCCUUGGAUUGCUCUGAUUUAAUUAAACCUCUACUGCAAUACCACGGACUCAGUGAAUUGGUUUUGUCUGUGCAAUGGGCAAGAAGAACCUGUUGGGUGGUUAUACAGGUACUACAAGCACAGGCUGAUGGCAAAUUAUUGGUUUUGCUUCCUGCCCUUGGUGUUUCUAAACAUCUAGUCCAAAAUUACUCCUAAAAUGUCCAGCAAAGCCAAUUUUAAAAGAGGCUAUAUGGCCAAUCACUAUUCUUUCUGCACAUCAUUGCAAAUAAUCAGGUUACGGCUGGGCACGGUGGCUCAUGCCUGCAAUCCCAGCACUUUGGGAGGCUGAGGCAGGUGGAUCACCUGAGAUCAGGAGUUCGAGACCAGCCUGGGCAACAUGGUAAACCCCUAUCUCUACU